This 490-nucleotide ribosomal RNA is filed under the name uncultured bacterium. RNAcentral describes it as "partial 16S ribosomal RNA". It matches the Rfam family "Bacterial small subunit ribosomal RNA", at positions 30 to 507 of the family's 1533-position model. The record is from RNAcentral.
AUUGAACGCUGGCGGCAGGCCUAACACAUGCAAGUCGAACGGUAACAGGAAGACGCUUGCUUCUUUGCUGACGAGUGGCGGACGUGUGAGUAAUGUCUGGGAAACUGCCUGGUGGAGGGGGAUAACUACUGGAAACGGUAGCUAAUACCGCAUAACGUCGCAAGACCAAAGAGGGGGACCUUCGGGCCUCUUGCCAUCGGAUGUGCCCAGAUGGGAUUAGCUAGUAGGUGGGGUAACGGCUCACCUAGGCGACGAUCCCUAGCUGGUCUGAGAGGAUGACCAGCCACACUGGAACUGAGACACGGUCCAGACUCCUACGGGAGGCAGCAGUGGGGAAUAUUGCACAAUGGGCGCAAGCCUGAUGCAGCCAUGCCGCGUGUAUGAAGAAGGCCUUCGGGUUGUAAAGUACUUUCAGCGGGGAGGAAGGGAGUAAAGUUAAUACCUUGGCUCAUUGACGUUACCCGCAGAAGAAGCACCGGCUAACUCCGUG